This 421-nucleotide unclassified non-coding RNA is filed under the name Hevea brasiliensis (rubber tree). The record is from RNAcentral. Lineage: Eukaryota; Viridiplantae; Streptophyta; Magnoliopsida; Malpighiales; Euphorbiaceae.
CCACAGAUCAUCCAAGAAUACGAAUCAGGAAAGGCAAUUCCAAACCAACAAAUAAUCUCAAAACUGGAGAGAGCUCUUGGAGCGAAACUUCGAGGGAAGAAAUAAAAUAAAGUGUGAGCGCCCACAGAUCAUCCAAGAAUACGAAUCAGGAAAGGCAAUUCCAAACCAACAAAUAAUCUCAAAACUGGAGAGAGCUCUUGGAGCGAAACUUCGAGGGAAGAAAUAAAAUAAAGUGUGAGCGCACAAUUGAGCCUUAUGGAUUGUCACUGUCUGUUUGAAUCCAAAAUUUGGUCAUGUACACAGACUUUUCUUUAAUCAUUGGCUAUGUUUUUGCUUCGUUAUGCCUGGAUUGACGUAUACUGUUUUCUCUGUUGAAUUAGCUGUUUCUUCUGUGGAAAUUUUGAACUCUCUCUUUUACAGA